RNAcentral lists this ribosomal RNA (434 nucleotides) under uncultured Clostridiales Family XIV bacterium. RNAcentral describes it as "bacterial SSU rRNA". It matches the Rfam family "Bacterial small subunit ribosomal RNA", at positions 341 to 792 of the family's 1533-position model. Lineage: Bacteria; Bacillati; Bacillota; Clostridia; Eubacteriales; Clostridiales Family XIV. Incertae Sedis. The record is from RNAcentral.
ACGGGAGGCAGCAGUGGGGAAUAUUGGACAAUGGGGGAAACCCUGAUCCAGCGACGCCGCGUGAGUGAAGAAGUAUUUCGGUAUGUAAAGCUCUUUAAGCAGGAAAGAAAAUGACGGUACCUGCAGAAUAAGCCCCGGCUAACUACGUGCCAGCAGCCGCGGUAAUACGUAGGGGGCAAGCGUUAUCCGGAUUUACUGGGUGUAAAGGGAGCGUAGACGGCUUUGCAAGUCUGAAGUGAAAGCCCGGGGCUCAACCCCGGAACUGCUUUGGAAACUGUAGAGCUAGAGUGCAGGAGAGGUAAGUGGAAUUCCUAGUGUAGCGGUGAAAUGCGUAGAUAUUAGGAGGAACACCAGUGGCGAAGGCGGCUUACUGGACUGUAACUGACGUUGAGGCUCGAAGGCGUGGGGAGCAAACAGGAUUAGAUACCCUGGUA